This 428-nucleotide ribosomal RNA is filed under the name uncultured bacterium. RNAcentral's name for it is "bacterial SSU rRNA". It matches the Rfam family "Bacterial small subunit ribosomal RNA", at positions 354 to 796 of the family's 1533-position model. The record is from RNAcentral.
GUGGGGAAUAUUGGGCAAUGGGCGCAAGCCUGACCCAGCAACGCCGCGUGAAGGAAGAAGGCUUUCGGGUUGUAAACUUCUUUUAUUAAGGACGAAACAAAUGACGGUACUUAAUGAAUAAGCUCCGGCUAACUACGUGCCAGCAGCCGCGGUAAUACGUAGGGAGCAAGCGUUAUCCGGAUUUACUGGGUGUAAAGGGCGUGUAGGCGGGAGUGCAAGUCAGAUGUGAAAACUAUGGGCUCAACCCAUAGCCUGCAUUUGAAACUGUACUUCUUGAGUACUGGAGAGGCAGGCGGAAUUCCGUGUGUAGCGGUGAAAUGCGUAGAUAUACGGAGGAACACCAGUGGCGAAGGCGGCCUGCUGGACAGCAACUGACGCUGAGGCGCGAAAGCGUGGGGAGCAAACAGGAUUAGAAACCCGAGUAGUCC